ACACGCGGCUUCCACGCUGCGUCCGAUAGCUCGGGGCCACCCCGUCACUCACCCCACGCUAACCAGAGCAGCAGGUUCACUUCCUGCCCUGCCGGGCCCUCACACACACACCCUCACACACCCUCACACACCCUUACAUACACACUCUUACACACACCCUCACACCCCCUUACACAACACCCUCACUACACCCUCACACACACACCCUCACACACCCUUACAUACACACCCUCACACACCCUCACACCCCCUUACACAACACCCUCACACACCCUCACAUACACACCCUCACACACCCUUACACACACACACCCUCACACACACACCCUCACAUACGCACUCUUACACCCUCACAACACACACCCUUACACACACACCCUCACACACCCCCUUACACACACCCUUACAUACACACUCUUACACCCUCACACCCUACACAACACCCUCACACACACACCCUCACACACCCUUACAUACACACUCUUACACACACCCUCACACACCCUUACACAUACACCCUCACACACCCCCUUACACACACCCUCACAUACAUACUCUUACACCCUUACACGCACACCCUCACACACACCCUCACACACAAACCUCACACACACUCUUACACACACCCUCACACACCCUUACAUACACACCCUCACACACACACACCCUCACACACACACACCCUCACAUACACACUCUUACACCCUCACACACACACACACACCCUCACACACACUCACACUUACACACACAUUCACACACACACCAUCACACAACCUCACACCCUCUCACACACACACAUCCUCACACACCCUCACAAUAUACCCUCACACUCACACACCCUCUCACACACACCCUCACGCACACUCAUACACAUCCUCACACACACUCACACACAGCCUCACACACUCACCCUCACACUUACACAAUACACCCUCACACUCACGCACACCCUCACACACACCUUCACACUUGCAUUGCUUCCUGCCCCACCAAGCCCCGAGGCCCCUCCCAUGGCUCCACACACAUGCACACACACCCUCAUACACACACAUACCCUCACACACACACACUCUCACACUCACACACACCCUCACAUCCUCACACACAUACACACCUUCACACACAUGCCCUCACACACACCCUCACACUCACACACUCUCACACACACCCUCACACACACACACUCUCUCUCACACACACACCCUCAUACACACACAUACCCUCACAAACACACUCUCACACUCACACACACCCUCACACACAUACACACCUUCACACACACUCUCACACUCACCCACUCUCACACACACCCCCUCACACACACACCCUCACACACACACACACCCUCACACUCACACCCUCUCUCACACACACACCCUCUCUCACACACACACACCCCCUCACACCUGCAUUGUUUCCGUAAGCUCUGUGCUUUGCUUGGCCUCAGCGUCUGCUCCUCCCUGGGGCCUAAUGUUUUCUCUGGACCAAACACCUUUCCUGGCUUUUGGCUCCAGUUCUGUACCAAGUCGUUCUGGGAAGACUCAGGUUUUAGCUAGAAUUGUGGUGUUCUGGAGUGGGAGGGUGAGUGUACUUCUGCAUCAUAAGAAGUCUCUUUUUUUAAAGAUUCAUUUUAUUAAUUUGAAAAACAGAGUUACAGAGAGAGGUAGAGAGAGACAGAGAGAGGUCUUCCACCUGCUGGUUCAUACCCAGUUGGCUGUAAUGGCCGGAGCUGCGUCCAUCUGA
This is a long non-coding RNA of Oryctolagus cuniculus (rabbit), 1746 nucleotides long. Lineage: Eukaryota; Metazoa; Chordata; Mammalia; Lagomorpha; Leporidae. The record is from Ensembl.